AGCUAGCAUGGCAUAGUGGUUUGAGCACUGGACUAGGGCUCCAGAGACCAGGGUUCAAAUCCCAGCUUGGCCA
Non-coding RNA from Phrynosoma platyrhinos (Desert horned lizard), 73 nucleotides. The record is from the annotation of a GenBank genome assembly. NCBI's taxonomy places the organism in Eukaryota, Metazoa, Chordata, Lepidosauria, Squamata, Phrynosomatidae.